This 164-nucleotide ribosomal RNA is filed under the name Leucosyris carnosa. RNAcentral's name for it is "5.8S ribosomal RNA". It matches the Rfam family "5.8S ribosomal RNA". Rfam says of the family: 5.8S ribosomal RNA (5.8S rRNA) is a component of the large subunit of the eukaryotic ribosome. Lineage: Eukaryota; Viridiplantae; Streptophyta; Magnoliopsida; Asterales; Asteraceae. The record is from RNAcentral.
CAAACGACUCUCGGCAACGGAUAUCUCGGCUCACGCAUCGAUGAAGAACGUAGCAAAAUGCGAUACUUGGUGUGAAUUGCAGAAUCCCGUGAACCAUCGAGUUUUUGAACGCAAGUUGCGCCCGAAGCCSUUCGGCUGAGGGCACGUCUGCCUGGGCGUCACGC